Molecule: ribosomal RNA, 677 nt
Filed under: uncultured Vibrionaceae bacterium
Lineage: Bacteria; Pseudomonadati; Pseudomonadota; Gammaproteobacteria; Vibrionales; Vibrionaceae
Description: bacterial SSU rRNA
Rfam family: Bacterial small subunit ribosomal RNA
Source: RNAcentral
UAGAGUUUGAUCAUGGCUCAGAUUGAACGCUGGCGGCAGGCCUAACACAUGCAAGUCGAGCGGUAACAGAAAGAAAGCUUGCUUUCUUUGCUGACGAGCGGCGGACGGGUGAGUAAUGCCUGGGAAUAUACCCUGAUGUGGGGGAUAACUAUUGGAAACGAUAGCUAAUACCGCAUAAUCUCUUCGGAGCAAAGAGGGGGACCUUCGGGCCUCUCGCGUCAGGAUUAGCCCAGGUGGGAUUAGCUAGUUGGUGGGGUAAUGGCUCACCAAGGCAACGAUCCCUAGCUGGUCUGAGAGGAUGAUCAGCCACACUGGAACUGAGACACGGUCCAGACUCCUACGGGAGGCAGCAGUGGGGAAUAUUGCACAAUGGGGGAAACCCUGAUGCAGCCAUGCCGCGUGUAUGAAGAAGGCCUUCGGGUUGUAAAGUACUUUCAGUUGUGAGGAAGGCGUUAAAGUUAAUAGCUUUAGCGUUUGACGUUAGCAACAGAAGAAGCACCGGCUAACUCCGUGCCAGCAGCCGCGGUAAUACGGAGGGUGCGAGCGUUAAUCGGAAUUACUGGGCGUAAAGCGCAUGCAGGCGGUCUGUUAAGCAAGAUGUGAAAGCUCGGGGCUCAACCUCGGAACAGCAUUUUGAACUGGCAGACUAGAGUCCUGUAGAGGGGGGUAGAAUUUCA